This 33-nucleotide ribosomal RNA is filed under the name Kudoa megacapsula. RNAcentral's name for it is "partial 5.8S ribosomal RNA". The record is from RNAcentral. Lineage: Eukaryota; Metazoa; Cnidaria; Myxozoa; Multivalvulida; Kudoidae.
ACAACCGUUAGCGGUGGAUCACUCGGUUCGUGU